AACGCAAGUUGCGCCCGAAGCCAUCCGGCCGAGGGCACGUCUGCCUGGGCGUCACACACCGUUGCCCCCCCAAACCCCGUCGGGGAAGAAGGGGGGCGGAUGCUGGCCUCCCGUGAGCCUCGCCUCGCGGCUGGCCCAAAUGCGAGAUCUCUGCUGCGAGCGUCGCGGCGAUGGUGGUUGUCGAAUAACUCGGUGCCCCGUCGCGAACGCCCCCAGCGUGCUGUCUCGGAACGACCCCUGCGCGCGGCCUCGCGCCGCGCUUCCAACGCGACCCCAGGUCAGGCGGGGCUACCCGCUGAAUUUAA
Molecule: unclassified non-coding RNA, 305 nt
Filed under: Inocybe sp.
Lineage: Eukaryota; Fungi; Basidiomycota; Agaricomycetes; Agaricales; Inocybaceae
Description: partial contains 5.8S ribosomal RNA, internal transcribed spacer 2, and large subunit ribosomal RNA
Source: RNAcentral